RNAcentral lists this ribosomal RNA (275 nucleotides) under uncultured bacterium. RNAcentral describes it as "partial 16S ribosomal RNA". It matches the Rfam family "Bacterial small subunit ribosomal RNA", at positions 524 to 794 of the family's 1533-position model. The record is from RNAcentral.
UACGGAGGAUCCAGGCGUUAUCCGGAUUUAUUGGGUUUAAAGGAGGUACGUAGGUUGACAUAUAAGUACAGCUGUGAAAGUUUACGGACUCAACCGUGAAAUUGCAGUUGAUACUGUAUGUCUUGAGUGUACAAGAGGUGGGCGGAAUUCGUGGUGUAGCGGUGAAAUGCUUAGAUAUCACGAAGAACUCCAAUUGCGAAGGCAGCUCACUGGGGUACAACUGACACUGAGGCUCGAAAGUGUGGGUAUCAAACAGGAUUAGAUACCCGCGUAGU